CCUACGGGAGGCAGCAGUAAGGAAUAUUGGACAAUGCUCGCAAGAGUGAUCCAGCCAUGCCGCGUGCAGGAAGAAUGCCCUAUGGGUAGUAAACUGCUUUUGAACUAGAGAAAACCCCAGUACGUGUACUGGGCUGAUAGUAUAGUUAGAAUAAGCAUCGGCUAACUUCGUGCCAGCAGCCGCGGUAAGACGAAGGAUGCAAGCGUUAUCCGGAUUCAUUGGGUUUAAGGGGAGCGUAGGUGGACUGAUAAGUCAGUGGUGAAAUCUCCGAGCUUAACUCGGAAAUUGCCAUUGAUACUGUUGGUCUUGAGUACAGUUGCUGUGGGCGGAAUAUGACAUGUAGUGGUGAAAUACAUAGAGAUGUCAUAGAACACCGAUUGCGAAGGCAGCUCACAAAGCUGUAACUGACACUGAGGCUCGAAAGUGCGGGGAUCAAACAGGAUUAGAUACCCUGGUAGUCCGCACCGUAAACGAUGAUUACUCGCUGCUAGGGGGCAACCUUUAGUGGCUUAGCGAAAGCGAUAAGAAUCCACCUGGGGAGUACGCCGGCAACGGUGAAACUCAAANAGAGUUAGAGCGNGAGAGNGCGACGGACGACGACGAGGGAGGAGG
Molecule: ribosomal RNA, 612 nt
Filed under: uncultured bacterium
Lineage: Bacteria
Description: bacterial SSU rRNA
Rfam family: Bacterial small subunit ribosomal RNA
Source: RNAcentral